This 560-nucleotide ribosomal RNA is filed under the name Boophis bottae. RNAcentral's name for it is "partial 16S ribosomal RNA". It matches the Rfam family "Bacterial large subunit ribosomal RNA", at positions 1837 to 2609 of the family's 2925-position model. The record is from RNAcentral. Lineage: Eukaryota; Metazoa; Chordata; Amphibia; Anura; Mantellidae.
GCUUAAAUAUAAGAGGUCCAGCCUGCCCAGUGACAAAAUUUAACGGCCGCGGUACCCUAACCGUGCGAAGGUAGCAUAAUCACUUGUUCUUUAAAUGAGGACCUGUAUCAACGGCAUCACGAGGAUUAUACUGUCUCCCUCUUUAAAUCAGUGAAACUGAUCUCCCCGUGAAGAAGCGGGAAUAUUCAUAUAAGACGAGAAGACCCCAUGGAGCUUUAAACCCAACAACACCUAUCUUAUACACACCAUCAUAUUUGUUUAGUCCUUGUUUAGUCGGUUUUAGGUUGGGGUGACCGCGGAGUACAAAAAAACCUCCACGAAAAAAAGACUAAUAGUCCUUAUCCAAGAUACACACCUCUAAGAAUUAAUAUAUUAAUUUUUAAUGAUCCGCCAUUCGAUCAACGAACUAAGUUACCCUGGGGAUAACAGCGCAAUCUACCUUGAGAGCCCCUAUCGACAGGUGGGUUUACGACCUCGAUGUUGGAUCAGGGUACCCCAAGUGGUGCAGCAGCUACUAAAGGGUUCGUUUGUUCAACGAUUAAAACCCUACGUGAUCUGAG